Molecule: transfer RNA, 77 nt
Filed under: Marinobacter sp.
Lineage: Bacteria; Pseudomonadati; Pseudomonadota; Gammaproteobacteria; Pseudomonadales; Marinobacteraceae
Also listed under: 8 other names
Description: tRNA-Arg
Rfam family: tRNA
About the family: Transfer RNA (tRNA) molecules are approximately 80 nucleotides in length. Their secondary structure includes four short double-helical elements and three loops (D, anti-codon, and T loops).
Source: RNAcentral
GCGGCUGUAGCUCAGCUGGAUAGAGUACCUGGCUACGAACCAGGCGGUCGGAGGUUCGAAUCCUCCCAGCCGCACCA